UGCAAGUCGAACGCACCUUUCGGGGUGAGUGGCAGACGGGUGAGUAACGCGUGGGAAUCUACCCUUCUCUACGGGAUAGCUCCGGGAAACUGGAAUUAAUACCGUAUACGUCCUGAGGGAGAAAGAUUUAUCGGGGAAGGAUGAGCCCGCGUUGGAUUAGCUAGUUGGUGGGGUAAAGGCCUACCAAGGCGACGAUCCAUAGCUGGUCUAAGAGGAUGAUCAGCCACAUUGGGACUGAGACACGGCCCAAACUCCUACGGGAGGCAGCAGUGGGGAAUAUUGGACGAUGGGCGCAAGCCUGAUCCAGCCAUGCCGCGUGAGUGAUGAAGGCCCUAGGGUUGUAAAGCUCUUUCAGUGGGGACGAUAAUGACGGUACCCACAGAAGAAGCCCCGGCUAACUUCGUGCCAGCAGCCGCGGUAAUACGAAGGGGGCUAGCGUUGUUCGGAAUUACUGGGCGUAAAGCGCACGUAGGCGGAUAUUUAAGUCAGGGGUGAAAUCCCGGGGCUCAACCCCGGAACUGCCUUUGAUACUGGGUAUCUUGAGUUCGGAAGAGGUAAGUGGAAUUGCGAGUGUAGAGGUGAAAUUCGUAGAUAUUCGCAGGAACACCAGUGGCGAAGGCGGCUUACUGGUCCGAUACUGACGCUGAGGUGCGAAAGCGUGGGGAGCAAACA
This 672-nucleotide ribosomal RNA is filed under the name uncultured Hyphomicrobiales bacterium. Its description in RNAcentral is "bacterial SSU rRNA". It matches the Rfam family "Bacterial small subunit ribosomal RNA", at positions 56 to 774 of the family's 1533-position model. Lineage: Bacteria; Pseudomonadati; Pseudomonadota; Alphaproteobacteria; Hyphomicrobiales. The record is from RNAcentral.